Molecule: non-coding RNA, 247 nt
Filed under: Bacillota bacterium
Lineage: Bacteria; Bacillati; Bacillota
Description: Firmicutes bacterium T-box sequence
Rfam family: T-box leader
About the family: Uncharged tRNA acts as the effector for transcription antitermination of genes in the T-box leader family. T-boxes are found upstream of many aminoacyl-tRNA synthetase genes and some amino acid biosynthetic genes usually in Gram-positive bacteria.
Source: RNAcentral
UCAAACGCGAAGACACAGAGUAGUAAGCAGGAACGUCCUUUCAGAGAAGUGCCGGGUGGUGCGAGGCACAAAGCGUACAGACCUGCCGAACUGGCUGAACAGCGGCUGCGCUGAACGAUGAGUAGGUGCAGACGGGUGCGCCCGUUAUUGUGCAGGGAUAUGAUGGUAUCCCGUGUGAGUGCGUCCCCUGAUUUUGGGGGCGAAGAAGAGUGGUACCGCGGAGGGUUUUCGGCCUUUCGUCUCUUCU